AGAGUUUGAUCCUGGCUCAGGAUGAACGCUGGCGGCGUGCCUAACACAUGCAAGUCGAGCGAUUUACUUCGGUAAAGAGCGGCGGACGGGUGAGUAACGCGUGGGUAACCUGCCCUGUACACACGGAUAACAUACCGAAAGGUAUGCUAAUACGAGAUAAUAUGCUUUUAUCGCAUGGUAGAAGUAUCAAAGCUUUUGCGGUACAGGAUGGACCCGCGUCUGAUUAGCUAGUUGGUAAGGUAACGGCUUACCAAGGCGACGAUCAGUAGCCGACCUGAGAGGGUGAUCGGCCACAUUGGAACUGAGACACGGUCCAAACUCCUACGGGAGGCAGCAGUGGGGAAUAUUGCACAAUGGGCGAAAGCCUGAUGCAGCAACGCCGCGUGAGCGAUGAAGGCCUUCGGGUCGUAAAGCUCUGUCCUCAAGGAAGAUAAUGACGGUACUUGAGGAGGAAGCCCCGG
RNAcentral lists this ribosomal RNA (461 nucleotides) under uncultured bacterium. RNAcentral describes it as "bacterial SSU rRNA". It matches the Rfam family "Bacterial small subunit ribosomal RNA", at positions 8 to 496 of the family's 1533-position model. The record is from RNAcentral.